RNAcentral lists this long non-coding RNA (1113 nucleotides) under Equus caballus (horse). RNAcentral's name for it is "lncRNA (ENSECAG00000035590.3)". Lineage: Eukaryota; Metazoa; Chordata; Mammalia; Perissodactyla; Equidae. The record is from RNAcentral.
AUUUGAGCAGGGACAUGCAUGGUAACAGUCUCUAGCCUUAUGAAGCUCAGUAAGAACCACGUCCCUGAGGUUGGAACAAAUGGACAAAAUGAAGAGGAGAAGAUGGCAGAUUGCUUAAUUUCUUGAAAUGUGAUGAUCAAGAACACAGCUUGGAAGUUCAACGGACCUCCAGCUAUCGCAUCAAAAUCAUGUUCAGCAUCUGUGAAAUUGACCCUCAACUGUGAAAUCAUAUUUUAAUGAUAAAGUGCCAAAAGUGUUCUGCAAGUAUAAGGUGUGUGUCCGUGAUCCCACUCUUCUCUGCACCUCUGCCUGCUCUCCCAAAUGAAGACUGCCCAUCCGGCUCAUCACCUUGGUCCUACCUAGCUUUCCAGGCCAAGUUCAAAUUCUUCCUUUGCAAUGGAACUGAGGACCACCUCAUUGGUCCCAUAUAUCUCUUCUCUUCUUGAUCCAAAUCCCUGCUCAAAAGGAAGAUUAGCCCUGAGCUAACAUCCAUGCCCAUCUUCCUCUAUCUUAUAUGUGGCAUGCUGCCACAGCAUGGCUUGAUAAGUGGUGUGUAGGUCCAUGCCCAGGAUCUGGGCUGGCAAACCCUGGGCCACUGAAGUGGAACACUCAAACUUAACCACCACGCCACCCGGCUGGCCCCCUUCGGACACAACUUUUAACCUUCAUCAGCCUCAAGUGACCACCUGUAAAACGGCUACAAGGUCUGACUGUCUAUGAGGCUGUGAGCACUUGGUGAUGUUUAAUAAACAGGGCCUGGACUAGGGCAAGAAUGGCCAGAGGCAGAACCAGAAACGUAGGGAGAAGGUUUUCCUUUGCAGCUUUCUGAGAGCCCUUACAAGCACUUGAUCUUUGUUCCCUUCAGCAACAAUGGAUGAGAGUAUACAACAUUGGAGCCACAAAGUGUGAACUGACGUAUGAAUUGGAGAAAGAUGUUUGCCGGGUAGGAGGAAUGUGGAAGACCACGCUGGCUCCAAACUGUGAAGACUGAGGCACAUAUUAGAAGAGUCUUCUCCCCAACAGCUCCCAUCUAUACCAGUUACCAGUUUGCUGCUUCUACCCCAACGACCAGGCCGUCUCCCCUACGCAGAAACCUAUUAACCCUAGGAGGUG